UACGGAGGAUGCGAGCGUUAUCCGGAUUUAUUGGGUUUAAAGGGUGCGUAGGCGGUCCGUUAAGUCAGCGGUAAAAUUGCGGGGCUCAACCCCGUCGAGCCGUUGAAACUGUCAGACUUGAGUUGGCGAGAAGUACGCGGAAUGCGCGGUGUAGCGGUGAAAUGCAUAGAUAUCGCGCAGAACUCCGAUUGCGAAGGCAGCGUACCGGCGCCACACUGACGCUGAGGCACGAAAGCGUGGGGAUCAAACAGG
This 252-nucleotide ribosomal RNA is filed under the name uncultured bacterium. RNAcentral describes it as "partial 16S ribosomal RNA". It matches the Rfam family "Bacterial small subunit ribosomal RNA", at positions 524 to 776 of the family's 1533-position model. The record is from RNAcentral.